AUCUGUUAUUUAUUCAUUUUUUCCCCUCUCUUUCUGCCUCAUUUGGGUCAACCGGAUUGUUUUCAUGAUUCUAUUUUACCUUUUUUUGUUGGUUUAUUAGCUAUAACUCAUUUAAAAGUGUGUGUGUAUAUACAUGUGCACAUACACACAUACAUAGUAGCUUUAGAGUUUAUAGUAUACAUCUAACUUAUCACAGUCUACUUUCAAAGAUGUCAUUCUACUUCCCAUGUAAUAUUUUUAUAAACUGCAUUUUUGAUUAUUUCUAUUGCUAUGUUUUCAGAUCCAUUAAUCAUUUCUUCUCAAAUAUUUAAUCUGCCAUCAACCUUAUUCAGUGUAAUUUUUCAUCUCAAACAUAUUUUCAUUUCUAGAAGUUUGAUUUGUAUCUUUUUAGUAUCUUCCAUGUUGCAACUUUUUAAACAUACAACAUACAGCUAUAAUCGUGGUUUUAAUAUCCUUGUCUGUGAAUUCUAAUAUCUGCCUCGGUUUUGGUUUGGUUUCAAUGGACAUUUUUUUUUUCUUCAUUGUGGUUGUAUUUUUGCCUUCCUGGUAAUUUUUCUAUUGUAUGGCAGACAUGGGGUAUUUUUCCCUGUUAAGUGGGGUUUUUUAAAUUGUUAUUCCUAUAAAUUUUCUUGAACUUUUUUGGGGAUGUAGCUAAAUUACUUGGAAACAUUUUGAUUCUUCCAGGUCCUAUCUUUAAGAUUUGUUAGGCAGGACCCGAGCAGUAUUUAGUUCAGGACUAACUUUACCACACUACGGAGGCAAAACCUUUUUGAGCUCUCUGCUCAAGGAUGCAUGUAUUAUUAAACUUUCCAGUUUGGCUGGCGGGAAAAGGCAUCGUGCCCAGCCAUGUGGGGGCACUUGACAUUUUUCUAAUCCUUUAGGAUGGUUCUUUCCCUGGUUUGGGGUUUUUUCCCUCAUGUGAGUGCUAACCAGUCGUCUGAUAAAAACUUGAAACUCUUUCUGGAUCUUUUCAUCAUCUUUACAGGAAUGAAGGGAAUAUCUUAGAUCAGCUGAUUAAAAGUUUUUUUCUUAACUGGGAUUGGCAAUCUCAUUUACUACCUGUCCUGGGUAUGACCCAUCACUACCAGCUUUCAGGGUGGGGUCAGGAUGGGCUGUCAGUUCCUGCCAAAAAAACUUGGAAUAACUGAUGAGAAAAGUCAGUGGCCCUUUCUCCCUCAGAAAUAUCACUCUUCUAUUUAGGGUGGUGAUUUUUCUUUUCUCAUACUUGAUUUGGUUAUCUGUUUUUCUCUGAUUUUUCUAGAAUUAUUAUAUUUGAUUUAUAUUUGGGGAAUAGUAUUAAAAUAACCAGACCAAAAUUACAUCCCACCCCCUCAAUCAUCAUUUGUAUUACUUAUUCCAUUUUUUUUUUUUUUCCUGGCUUCUAAUGCCUCUGGGUCAUUAGAAGCCAUGGCUGAGACAUCAGCAGGUCUUCUAAAGGCUGGUACUUCCAUGAGCAGUAAGCCCCAGGGGCCAGCUCACUCUCUUUUCUCUACAGCAUGAUCAUAUGCUUCCUUUCUUGAGCUGUGGUACCAUGUGUCUCUCUUCCUCUCCAGAUCGAUACGCAGCACCCAACCCCAGUCCUUUGGAACAAGCCGUUCCAGUGCUCAGGCUUGUUUCUUGUGCCUUAAUUCAUCUCCAGAUUUUCUUUUCAAAAUCCCACAGACUUACCCCUUCAGAGCUUUUCCCCCUUCCUGUUAUAUCUGUACUGCCUGUUCCUCCCUGAUGCUGUGCUUUACCCAUAUUUGUGUCAUCUUAAUUAGUCCUGCACGCCUUCAUUUGAACACCUCCCUUUCCUCUCAGUGAUGGCUCUGCGGCUGCUUCCUUCACUUGUCUCAGGCUCGGUUCCUUUCCCCUCGGCCUUUUCUCUUUUGCGUCUGGAGUCUAUUAUUACUAAAUGUGUUAUCCUCACUUUCUUUUCCUUUGAGAUUAUACAUAUAUAUAUAUAUAUUGUCUUCUGCAGAUAUCUUAAGAUGUUUCUGCUCCUUAUUUCCUGUGUUUACUGACAUUAGGCGAAGCUAAGGAAUCAGAGACAAGACAACCUGAUCUUUCCUCUGUCCAAGCAAUCCUCUGCUGGCAACUCUCCUUCAUUUCCAAUUACUUCAUUUGUUCUCUUUUUGUCUUUUUUCACAUCCAAACUGUAAUCUAUGUUUUCCUUUCUUCCUCUAUAUCCUAGAGCUGGUAGAACAGAACCUGGCAUGUAAUACACAUUCACUAAAUAUUUGUUGAAUAAAAACAAAUGAAUGAAUGAAGGAAUUUGGGUAAUUACCACCUGAGUUGUCAAUUCUUUGAUCUUAUUUUAGUUCCAGCUGGUCCAGUUGGUUCAGCAUUGUUUGUCAUGAAUAUUUUUAUAUUAUUUGCCUUAUCUCAGGCCCCAUACAGGGGCUCUCAUUCUCUAGAGAAAGUGAUAUUUCAUCUAUGGCUUUUGCAUCUAUUAUGAUGCCUUACUAUGUUUUUGAUGUGUUUUCUUCGAUUUAGGGGAAGUGUGGGCUUUUGUACAUAGAAAGGAAAUAGGUAUUUGAAUAUUGAAAUAAUAUUUAAUUAACUUCAGCUGCAAAUUUGAAACUAUAAUUUUCUCAGGCCUUUGCAAUUCUGAUUUUACUUAUAGACCAAGUAAUUUUUGUAAAAUUUAAAACCAUCCUUCCACUUGUAUAUCAAGUAACUCAGAUGCCUGACAAGGCUGAUUUAAACCUUGGCAAGCAAAAUCAAAGCACCUGUAAAUCUAAAAACUGGCCCUUAAACAACAUAAUGAGUCAAAGCAUUCAAAGACUGCUUAUAAACAUUAUCAAAUUAUCAGGACUUUGUAACUAAAAUGGGAAUAAAAUUAAGUAUAAAUUUCAAAUUGAAAUCAUUAAGCUAAAUUUUUUAGAUUCUUUAAUGUGUCAGAUUUUCUUAAACAUUGCUAAUACUUUAAACACAAAUAUUGUAACUUCUAUUUCUCUUAAUAAAUAGUAUUAAUACUACAGGUCCAAUCUACUUCAUGAUCCUAUGUUUAAUUCUAAGCCUCUUGUUCUUGGAAAAUCAUUUACCAAUGGAGGGGAGCAGUUUCACCAUCCCAGGUGCACUGGGGCUACUGGGUUAAGACUUGGGGCUGUGAUAUAGUCACUUAUUUAUCAGAUGUUCAAGACUAGGACAUAGCCCCAGGAUGGAGGGCUGCAAACUUCUAGAAGAAUUCGUCCCAAGCCACAGAAGUCACCCUGAGUAUUAUUCUGUCUGCCAUGUCCAUGAGGGAUCCAUGCUCCUGUCCUUCCGAGGGGCUUGAUUUGGUAGACUGUGUCCCCCUGGCCAUUUUAAUCCCAAAUUACAUCUUUACCCAAAUCCCAUCUUUAAACAUGUUUUAUCUUUUUUGGGGGGAGGGGGGUCAUCUGAAUUAUGUGCUUGUAUUUGGUUUGCCACAAAUUGCCUUUAUCCUUUGGUUAGAGUCAUCAUUUCUUUCAAACUUUUCUUAACUGACUCUUUUGACUAUAAAUGGGGGGAAAAAAAUCCAAUUCAAACUGAAAGUAGUGGAAGUAG
Molecule: long non-coding RNA, 3510 nt
Filed under: Sus scrofa (pig)
Lineage: Eukaryota; Metazoa; Chordata; Mammalia; Artiodactyla; Suidae
Description: lncRNA (ENSSSCG00000055166.1)
Source: RNAcentral